RNAcentral lists this long non-coding RNA (1130 nucleotides) under Felis catus (domestic cat). Its description in RNAcentral is "lncRNA (ENSFCAG00000050668.1)". Lineage: Eukaryota; Metazoa; Chordata; Mammalia; Carnivora; Felidae. The record is from RNAcentral.
AGGUGGUGGGGCGCCAGACCAGCGGGUGUCUUCACUUCUCUCCAAAAAGUUUUUGAACUCCCCUGCAAAUUAAACGCGUGUCGCUGCCAAGCAGGGGCCCUGCCAUGCAGGUCUGUCCCAAUACCCUCCAGUUACGAGGCUUUUUUUUUUUUCCCCUCCAGGGAAGGCCUGGAUUUGAAUGGGACUCUAGUGCCCGGGGAGUUGUUUCAUCUGAACGAGGUGACACGCCCACCCGCUGCCCCCGACCCGCCCGCGCCGCCGUGCCCGGGUGGGCAAGGUGAGAGGCGGGGCUCCGGGAAACAUCACCUGGAGGCGGCCAGGGGCGGACUUUCCCAGAGGAGCCCGACUCCGAGGAGGCGACACAAACGAAUUAAUUGCUUCCAUCAACGCCGCGUUUCAAUCCACCCCAAGCACUCCCUCUCCGAGUACUCAGCCCGCCGGGAUCUUCAGAAAAGAGGUUUUGGGCUCUUCGUGAAACUCCUCCCCGACUUCGAAAUCCGGCACGAUCCCCGAUUCCGACUGCAUGGCUCCCGCUUCCCGUCCUUCCACUGCUCAAAAGUGAGAACAGAGCCUGGGGCGGAGGGAAGGUGGCGGGGCCUGGGUCCCCCGAGCGGUGUGCCCCCGCGCAGUGCCCAGCUCAGCCCGCUUGCCCGCGCGCGGCCACCCGCCCCCGCGCGGCGAGUUUACACUCGCACCCGGGAGGGAGGGGCGGGCGGCCGCGCGCAGCCUGGGAUCUGUAGUUCGGUCCGGACGGGGCGUUCCCGGCUUUCCAGGGGAGCCGCUCCCGUGAAAACUACAACUCCCAGAAGGCCAGGCGGGGGCAGAGGCAACGUGGUGGACACCGCUAUUGCAACUCCUGUUUGGAUUCAUUGUCAAUGUCAGCAGCUCCUCUCCCUCCUCUCUCCUCUCUUGCUUCAAGGAUACGGACGUGGCUAUUUAAUAUUAAUAAGAAUGGCCUCAGCCUUGCUCUCCCACCGUCAGCCCUACUCCCUGUGCAGAUAUUUGCGAGGGCACGCCAAAUACUUUAAAAAAAAAUUUUUUUUUUUUUUUUUUAAUCGUGAAGGGUUUUGGCACUAGAAAGUUUUUGCCUUCAAGCCUGCCUUAAAAUAAAAGGACCUAACUAUCUAUCA